RNAcentral lists this ribosomal RNA (498 nucleotides) under Triticum aestivum (bread wheat). RNAcentral's name for it is "partial small subunit ribosomal RNA". Lineage: Eukaryota; Viridiplantae; Streptophyta; Magnoliopsida; Poales; Poaceae. The record is from RNAcentral.
AUGCAUGACGAAAUGGGCAGAUCGUUGCUUCUGUGCGUCAACGAUGCCAAUGUUGCACUGAGUCAUCCACCUGGUGGUGUAUUAUCUGAGAGGACUCUUAGGAGCAUGAUGGAGAAGUUCAAGAAGCGGUUCCAUAAGAUGGCAGCAAUGCUUUCUUGUCAUGGUGCUCAGUCCAGUGACGUGUAUGCACCUGGUACCCGCGCCAGAGCUAAUAGACGGCGUUAUAUCCAGAACGAUGAGGACAUGGAGGAGGAGGUCCAUGAAGAGGAGCCAUCACAUCAAGAGGAGCCAACACAAGAUGAGGAGCAUGAGUAUGAUGCAACACAUCAAGAGGAUCAUGAGUAUGAUGUUGAUGCUCCACAACCAUCACAGGUUACACAACCGACACAAGGCAAUGCUCGCUCUAGGAAAGGCAAAGCCAUAGCUAAGACACCAGGCAAGAAAGGUAGAAAGAAGACAUGGAACACACAAUUCCAUAGUCUGGAGUAUCCUCAUUAG